This 119-nucleotide ribosomal RNA is filed under the name Pomacea canaliculata. The record is from RNAcentral. Lineage: Eukaryota; Metazoa; Mollusca; Gastropoda; Architaenioglossa; Ampullariidae.
GCCUACGGCCAUACCACGUUGAACACACCGGUUCUCGUCCGAUCACCGAAGUUAAGCAACGUCGGGCCCGGUUAGUACUUGGAUGGGUGACCGCCUGGGAACACCGGGUGCUGUAGGCG